Erigeron canadensis is the source of this 108-nucleotide small nucleolar RNA. RefSeq annotates it as small nucleolar RNA Z279/snoR105/snoR108. The record is from RefSeq and is a predicted model, not a curated record. The transcript has a single exon. Lineage: Eukaryota; Viridiplantae; Streptophyta; Magnoliopsida; Asterales; Asteraceae.
GGGAAGUGAUGAGUGGUCAUUUACUUGCAAUUUAAAAUAUGCAAGAUGGGGUGUCCGCCCAAAGCCUUACGACAAUUGGGCACCUCCGAUUUUAAACCAUCUGAUCCC